AGCCAAAUAGCUUAGACUUAAAGCAUGUAUUUUGAAAAUACAAGACAGAAAAUAAAAAUUUCAUUGGCUU
Cimex lectularius (bed bug) is the source of this 70-nucleotide non-coding RNA. NCBI's taxonomy places the organism in Eukaryota, Metazoa, Arthropoda, Insecta, Hemiptera, Cimicidae. The record is from the annotation of a RefSeq genome assembly.